Molecule: ribosomal RNA, 254 nt
Filed under: uncultured bacterium
Lineage: Bacteria
Description: partial 16S ribosomal RNA
Rfam family: Bacterial small subunit ribosomal RNA
Source: RNAcentral
CACGUAGGCACCAAGCGUUGUCCGGAUUUAUUGGGCGUAAAGAGCUCGUAGGCGGUUCAGUAAGUCGGGUGUGAAAACUUUGGGCUUAACCCAAAGCGUGCAUCCGAUACUGCUGUGACUUGAGUUCGGUAGGGGAGUGGGGAAUUCCUAGUGUAGCGGUGAAAUGCGCAGAUAUUAGGAGGAACACCGGUGGCGAAGGCGCCACUCUGGGCCGAUACUGACGCUGAGGAGCGAAAGCGUGGGGAGCGAACAGG